GACAGAGGGUGCAAACGUUGUUCGGAAUUACUGGGUGUAAAGCGAGUGUAGGCGGUCUGAAAAGUCGGGUGUGAAAGCCCUGGGCUCAACCCAGGAAGUGCACUCGAAACUGCCAGGCUAGAGUAUCGGAGAGGUUGGUGGAAUUCUCGGUGUAGAGGUGAAAUUCGUAGAUAUCGAGAGGAACACCGGUGGCGAAGGCGGCCAACUGGACGAAUACUGACGCUGAGACUCGAAAGCGUGGGGAGCAAACAGG
RNAcentral lists this ribosomal RNA (253 nucleotides) under uncultured bacterium. RNAcentral's name for it is "partial 16S ribosomal RNA". It matches the Rfam family "Bacterial small subunit ribosomal RNA", at positions 524 to 776 of the family's 1533-position model. The record is from RNAcentral.